GAUGAACGCUGGCGGCGUGCUUAACACAUGCAAGUCGAACGAUGAUCCGGUGCUUGCACCGGGGAUUAGUGGCGAACGGGUGAGUAACACGUGAGUAACCUGCCCUUGACUCUGGGAUAAGCCUGGGAAACUGGGUCUAAUACCGGAUAUGACUGACUAUCGCAUGGUGGUUGGUGGAAAGCUUUUGCGGUUUUGGAUGGACUCGCGGCCUAUCAGCUUGUUGGGGGGUAAUGGCCUACCAAGGCGACGACGGGUAGCCGGCCUGAGAGGGUGACCGGCCACACUGGGACUGAGACACGGCCCAGACUCCUACGGGAGGCAGCAGUGGGGAAUAUUGCACAAUGGGCGCAAGCCUGAUGCAGCGACGCCGCGUGAGGGAUGACGGCCUGGUU
This 392-nucleotide ribosomal RNA is filed under the name uncultured bacterium. RNAcentral's name for it is "bacterial SSU rRNA". It matches the Rfam family "Bacterial small subunit ribosomal RNA", at positions 28 to 424 of the family's 1533-position model. The record is from RNAcentral.